UACGAAGGGGGCUAGCGUUGUUCGGAAUCACUGGGCGUAAAGGGCGCGUAGGCGGUGCGGUAAGUCACCUGUGAAACCUCUAGGCUCAACCUAGAGCCUGCAGGCGAAACUGCCGUGCUUGAGGGUGGGAGAGGUGCGUGGAAUUCCCGGUGUAGCGGUGAAAUGCGUAGAUAUCAGGAAGAACACCCGUGGCGAAGGCGGCUCUCUGGAACGCAACUGACGCUGAGACGCGAAAGCGUGGGGAGCAAACAGG
This 253-nucleotide ribosomal RNA is filed under the name uncultured bacterium. Its description in RNAcentral is "partial 16S ribosomal RNA". It matches the Rfam family "Bacterial small subunit ribosomal RNA", at positions 524 to 776 of the family's 1533-position model. The record is from RNAcentral.